Molecule: ribosomal RNA, 250 nt
Filed under: uncultured Chroococcidiopsis sp.
Lineage: Bacteria; Bacillati; Cyanobacteriota; Cyanophyceae; Chroococcidiopsidales; Chroococcidiopsidaceae
Description: partial 16S ribosomal RNA
Rfam family: Bacterial small subunit ribosomal RNA
Source: RNAcentral
CUAGCCGUAAACGAUGGAUACUAGGCGUUGUGAGUAUCGACCCUCACAGUGUCGUAGCUAACGCGUUAAGUAUCCCGUCUGGGGAGUACGCGCGCAAGCGUGAAACUCAAAGGAAUUGACGGGGGCCCGCACAAGCGGUGGAGUAUGUGGUUUAAUUCGAUGCAACGCGAAGAACCUUACCAGGACUUGACAUGUCGCGAAUCUCAGGGAAACUUGAGAGUGCCUUCGGGAGCGCGAACACAGGUGGUGC